Molecule: ribosomal RNA, 466 nt
Filed under: uncultured bacterium
Lineage: Bacteria
Description: bacterial SSU rRNA
Rfam family: Bacterial small subunit ribosomal RNA
Source: RNAcentral
CCUAACGGGUCGCAGCAGUAGGGAAUCUUCGGCAAUGGACGAGAGUCUGACCGAGCAACGCCGCGUGAGUGAAGAAGGUUUUCGGAUCGUAAAACUCUGUUGUUAGAGAAGAACAAGUAGGAGAGUAACUGCUCUUACCUUGACGGUAUCUAACCAGAAAGCCACGGCUAACUACGUGCCAGCAGCCGCGGUAAUACGUAGGUGGCAAGCGUUGUCCGGAUUUAUUGGGCGUAAAGCGAGCGCAGGCGGUCUUUUAAGUCUGAUGUGAAAGUCCUCGGCUCAACCGAGGAAGGUCGUUGGAAACUGGAGGACUUGAGUGCAGAAGAGGAGAGUGGAAUUCCAUGUGUAGCAGUGAAAUGCGUAGAUAUAUGGAGGAACACCAGUGGCGAAGGCGACUCUCUGGUCUGUAACUGACGCUGAGGCUCGAAAGCGUGGGGAGCAAACAGGAUUAGAUACCCGGGUAGUC